Molecule: long non-coding RNA, 419 nt
Filed under: Homo sapiens (human)
Lineage: Eukaryota; Metazoa; Chordata; Mammalia; Primates; Hominidae
Description: HSALNT0384741
Source: RNAcentral
UUCUUCCUUAGUUUCUUGAGAUUAUCAUCCGCUGAGGGUGGAAGGGGAGUGAGCAGACACACUCAGGAGGUGUCUUGAGAUUAUCAUCCGCUGAGGGUGGAGCUGAGGGUGGAAGGGGAGUGAGCAGACACUCGGGAGGUGUCUUGAGAUUAUCAUCCGCUGAGGGUGGAAGGGGAUAGAGCAGGCACUCGGCAGGUGUCUUGAGAUUAUCAUCCGCUGAGGGUGGAAGGGGAUAGAGCACACACUCGGAAGGUGUCUUGAGAUUAUCAUCCGCUGAGGGUGGAAGGGGAUAGAGCAGGCACUCGGCAGGUGUCUUGAGAUUAUCAUCCGCUGAGGGUGGAAGGGGAUAGAGCACACACUCGGAAGGUGUCUUGAGGCUCAGGGAGUUAUCAAUUAUAGAAUGUUGUUGAGUUGGAGGA